Long non-coding RNA from Oncorhynchus tshawytscha (Chinook salmon), 710 nucleotides. NCBI's taxonomy places the organism in Eukaryota, Metazoa, Chordata, Actinopteri, Salmoniformes, Salmonidae. The record is from Ensembl.
GGGGAGAGAGAGAAUGACAGAGGAAAGGGAAGGGGGAGAGAGAAUGACAGAGGAAAGGGAAGGAGGAGAGAGAGAAUGACAGAGGAAAGGGAAGAGAGAGAGAAUGACAGAGGAAAGGGAAGGAGGAGAGAGAAUGACAGAGGAAAGGGAAGGGGGAGAGAGAAGGACAGAGGAAAGGGAAGAGGGAGAGAGAACGACAGAGGAAAGGGAAGAGGGAGAGAGGGAAUGACAGAGGAACGAAAAGAGGGAGAGAGAGAAUGACAGAGGAAAGGGAAGAGAGAGAGAAUGACAGAGGAAAGGGAAGGGGGAGAGAGAGAACGACAGAGGAAAGGGAAGGGGGAGAGAGAAUGACAGAGGAAAGGGAAGGGGGAGAGAGAACGACAGAGGAAAGGAGGGGGAGAGAGAACGGCAGAGGAAAGGGAAGGGGGAGAGAGAACAGCAGAGGAAAGGGAAGGAGGAGAGAAUGACAGAGGAAAGAGAAGAGAGAGAGAGAAUGACAGAGGAAAGGGAAGGGAGAGAGAAUGACAGAGGAAAGGGAAGGGGGAGAGAGAAUGACAGAGGAAAGGGAAGGAGGAGAGAGAACGACAGAGGAAAGGGAAGGGGGAGAGAGAGAACGACAGGAAGUGGGAGAGAGAACAUCAGAGUAAAGGGAAGGGGGAGAGAGAGAAUGACAGAGGAAAGGGAAGGGGGAGAGAGAAUGACAGAGGAAA